This 408-nucleotide ribosomal RNA is filed under the name uncultured bacterium. Its description in RNAcentral is "bacterial SSU rRNA". It matches the Rfam family "Bacterial small subunit ribosomal RNA", at positions 355 to 775 of the family's 1533-position model. The record is from RNAcentral.
UGGGGAAUAUUGCACAAUGGGCGAAAGCCUGAUGCAGCGACGCCGCGUGAGGGAUGACGGCCUUCGGGUUGUAAACCUCUUUCGCCCGCGACGAAGGGAAACUGACGGUAGCGGGAGAAGAAGCACCGGCUGACUACGUGCCAGCAGCCGCGGUAAUACGUAGGGUGCGAGCGUUGUCCGGAAUUAUUGGGCGUAAAGAGCUCGUAGGCGGUUUGUCGCGUCGACUGUGAAAACUGGGGGCUUAACUCUCAGCUUGCAGUCGAUACGGGCAGACUUGAGUUCGGUAGGGGAGACUGGAAUUCCUGGUGUAGCGGUGAAAUGCGCAGAUAUCAGGAGGAACACCGGUGGCGAAGGCGGGUCUCUGGGCCGAUACUGACGCUGAGGAGCGAAAGCGUGGGGAGCGAACAG